Molecule: long non-coding RNA, 505 nt
Organism: Erythranthe guttata (spotted monkey flower)
Lineage: Eukaryota; Viridiplantae; Streptophyta; Magnoliopsida; Lamiales; Phrymaceae
Source: RefSeq, a predicted model, not a curated record
UGCGUUUUUUUUUGGGGUGAUUGCUUAACGGCGAGGCAAGUUAUAUAUUGAGUGACAGGCGGAAACUUCUUGAUGUGUGUGGGAAAUAUAAAUUUUCUCAGCUUUCCCAGACUUGAGUCCCCGACUUGCUGGAACCAGAUUCGAAUUCGUGGAAUUUACCAAUAAUCGAGAGUGGAACCAAUAAUCGAGAGUGGAAAUGCGUUCGGCGGCUGCCUUUACCACCUCAAUCAAUUUUUUUUUUGUGGCGAUUUUGUGGAAGCAAUCUACCAACCAAUGCGGAGCUGCAUCGUCAUCGGAUUAUCGCCUCACCUGCAUGCAUGCCUAGUAAUGAAUCGGCGUUACAUGUUAUCGCAACACGCAAAGGAAUGAACGAGGUUUAGGGAAAACCACCUUUUGGCAUCAACCGAACCGAACUGCUGCAAGGAAGAAUAUAAUUUCAGUUUUCUUUAAAUUCAAAGAGAUGUUAUAAUUUAUUUUCGAUCGAAAUGUAAAUUGAUAAGCACUA